AGUGAGCGCUGGCGGUAGGCCUAACACAUGCAAGUCGAACGGCAGCACAGGAGAGCUUGCUCUCUGGGUGGCGAGUGGCGGACGGGUGAGGAAUACAUCGGAAUCUACUCUGUCGUGGGGGAUAACGUAGGGAAACUUACGCUAAUACCGCAUACGACCUACGGGUGAAAGCAGGGGACCUUCGGGCCUUGCGCGAUUGAAUGAGCCGAUGUCGGAUUAGCUAGUUGGCGGGGUAAAGGCCCACCAAGGCGACGAUCCGUAGCUGGUCUGAGAGGAUGAUCAGCCACACUGGAACUGAGACACGGUCCAGACUCCUACGGGAGGCAGCAGUGGGGAAUAUUGGACAAUGGGCGCAAGCCUGAUCCAGCCAUACCGCGUGGGUGAAGAAGGCCUUCGGGUUGUAGAGCCCUUUUGUUGGGAAAGAAAUCCAGCUGGCUAAUACCCGGUUGGGAUGACGGUACCCAAAGAAUAAGCACCGGCUAACUUCGUGCCAGCAGCCGCUGUAA
This 506-nucleotide ribosomal RNA is filed under the name uncultured bacterium. Its description in RNAcentral is "partial 16S ribosomal RNA". It matches the Rfam family "Bacterial small subunit ribosomal RNA", at positions 29 to 523 of the family's 1533-position model. The record is from RNAcentral.